This 625-nucleotide ribosomal RNA is filed under the name Actinomadura sp. RNAcentral's name for it is "bacterial SSU rRNA". It matches the Rfam family "Bacterial small subunit ribosomal RNA", at positions 241 to 876 of the family's 1533-position model. Lineage: Bacteria; Bacillati; Actinomycetota; Actinomycetes; Streptosporangiales; Thermomonosporaceae. The record is from RNAcentral.
UCAGCUUGUUAGUGGGGUAACGGCCUACCAAGGCGACGACGGGUAACCGGCCUGAGAGGGCGACCGGUCACACUGGGACUGAGACACGGCCCAGACUCCUACGGGAGGCAGCAGUGGGGAAUAUUGCGCAAUGGGCGGAAGCCUGACGCAGCGACGCCGCGUGAGGGAUGACGGCCUUCGGGUUGUAAACCUCUUUCAGCAGGGACGAAGCGAAAGUGACGGUACCUGCAGAAGAAGCGCCGGCUAACUACGUGCCAGCAGCCGCGGUAAUACGUAGGGCGCAAGCGUUGUCCGGAAUUAUUGGGCGUAAAGAGCUCGUAGGCGGUUUGUCGCGUCUGUCGUGAAAGCCCACGGCUUAACCGUGGGUCUGCGGUGGAUACGGGCAGACUAGAGGCAGGUAGGGGAGAAUGGAAUUCCCGGUGUAGCGGUGAAAUGCGCAGAUAUCGGGAGGAACACCGGUGGCGAAGGCGGUUCUCUGGGCCUGUACUGACGCUGAGGAGCGAAAGCGUGGGGAGCGAACAGGAUUAGAUACCCUGGUAGUCCACGCCGUAAAACGUUGGGCGCUAGGUGUGGGGUCCUUCCACGGAUUCCGCGCCGUAGCUAACGCAUUAAGCGCCCCGCCUGG